GACUGUUUUCUGAAAAUGCAGCUGAGUGGAAGUUUUUCUACCUCAGCUGACAGAUGAAUCUUCCCGUAAAGCGAAUGUGACAUUCUUACUUGUCACUGGUUCUGGGAAAUGGCACAAGAGAGAAGGAAGCUGGACCGAAGCCACUGAAAACUAAUAUAUGAUGAUAGAAUACCAAUGAUAGAUGAUCAUAAAGAUGCAGUGACAGUGGAAAAGUCCACCAUCAGCCGCCAUCAGCAGGCUGGAAAUUACGUGCAAACAUGAUAGAAUGUGGCACAGUCAGAGGAAAUGCAGCGUAUGUGUAAAGUGGUGAAAGAACAAAAUUGUUGUCCACAUUUGUUUAUUUUUGCAGUUUAAUAUUGGGUA
This is a long non-coding RNA of Larimichthys crocea (large yellow croaker), 363 nucleotides long. RefSeq lists it as uncharacterized. The record is from RefSeq and is a predicted model, not a curated record. The transcript is spliced from 3 exons. Lineage: Eukaryota; Metazoa; Chordata; Actinopteri; Sciaenidae.